RNAcentral lists this ribosomal RNA (496 nucleotides) under uncultured bacterium. Its description in RNAcentral is "partial 16S ribosomal RNA". It matches the Rfam family "Bacterial small subunit ribosomal RNA", at positions 29 to 507 of the family's 1533-position model. The record is from RNAcentral.
AUGAACGCUGGCGGCGUGCCUCAUCCAUGCAAGUCGAGCGAACGGACGAGAAGCUUGCUUCUCUGAUGUUAGCGGCGGACGGGUGAGUAACACGUGGAUAACCUACCUAUAAGACUGGGAUAACUUCGGGAAACCGUAGCUAAUACCGGAUAAUAUUUUGAACCGCAUGGUUCAAAAGUGAAAGACGGUCUUGCUGUCACUUAUAGAUGGAUCCGCGCUGCAUUAGCUAGUUGGUAAGGUAACGGCUUACCAAGGCAACGAUGCAUAGCCGACCUGAGAGGGUGAUCGGCCACACUGGAACUGAGACACGGUCCAGACUCCUACGGGAGGCAGCAGUAGGGAAUCUUCCGCAAUGGGCGAAAGCCUGACGGAGCAACGCCGCGUGAGUGAUGGAGGUCUUCGGAUCGUAAAACUCUGUUAUUAGGGAAGAACAUAUGUGUAAGUAACUGUGCACAUCUUGACGGUACCUAAUCAGAAAGCCACGGCUAACUACGUG